AGAAAACCUAGGACUCAAGCUGGGACCGUGGAAAGAGAAAGAAAGGAAGAAACAAGAAAAUAGAGAAGAUUUUCAAAUACAUGAUAGAGGAAUACAGCUGAAUGCCAUGACAACCAGGUGCCAAGGAACUUCAGAAUCUCCAAAUGGAAGUCUCCAAAGCCCCUGAUUCACCAGAAAGAGAGAAAACCAUCCACUGGCCACCACACUGUUAUAUGAGCAGAACACAAACUCCUGUUGUGUUUGAGCCUGUAAACAUUCUGGGCAGCAGAUUAUCCUCUUUAACAUACAAAAUGAUGCCUCAAAUAUGCCUACAAACAAGUAAAAUCAGCUAUCCAG
Molecule: long non-coding RNA, 336 nt
Filed under: Homo sapiens (human)
Lineage: Eukaryota; Metazoa; Chordata; Mammalia; Primates; Hominidae
Description: HSALNT0368601
Source: RNAcentral